This 440-nucleotide ribosomal RNA is filed under the name uncultured bacterium. RNAcentral's name for it is "partial 16S ribosomal RNA". It matches the Rfam family "Bacterial small subunit ribosomal RNA", at positions 338 to 795 of the family's 1533-position model. The record is from RNAcentral.
CCUACGGGCGGCAGCAGUGGGGAAUAUUGCACAAUGGGGGAAACCCUGAUGCAGCGACGCCGCGUGAGGGAAGAAGGAUUUCGGGAUGUAAAGCUCUAUCAGCAGGGAAGAAAAUGACGGUACCUGACUAAGAAGCCACGGCCAACUACGUGCCAGCAGCCGUGGUAAUACGGAGGGGGCAAGCGUUAUCCGGAUUUACUGGGUGUAAAGGGGGCGUAGACGGGCAGACUAGUCAGCAGUGAAAACCUGCGGCUCAACUGCGGGAUUGCUUUUGAAACUGGUUGGCUGGAGUGCAGGAGAGGUAAGCGGAAUUCGUGGUGUAGCGGUGAAAUGCGUAGAUAUUAGGAGGAACCCCAGUGGCGAAGGCGGCUUACUGGACUGUAACUGACGUUGAGGCUCGAAAGCGUGGGUAGCAAACAGGAUUAGAUACCCCAGUAGUC